CCUAAUCCCAGACCUCCGACUUCCGUGACAUAGAGGUCAGAGACAAAGUCCACUUGGAUGGAAGUGGGAGCAGAAUGAGAGGGGCCAUUUUGAUUCUGUGGUUGAAGAAAAUAGCUGAUCUGACGCUGUCUGGGAGCCGGUUCGGCCAGGGUCUAAGGAUAAUUCUGAGGCUAUGAUGGGCAUGAUUCCCAUAGAAGACCUGAGAUUUCUGCACUCUGAGCAAUAUCAAAUGCCACUGGAUUUGUUCUUGCCCUAGAGGAUGGCGAAAGGGCUCCUUGUGACCUAUGUCCUUUGGGCUGUAGGGGGCCCUGCUGGGCUUCACCACCUAUACUUGGGAAGGGACAGUCAUGCCCUGCUCUGGAUGCUUACCCUGGGGGGAGGUGGGCUGGGCUGGCUCUGGGAAUUCUGGAAUCUCCCAAACUUUGUAGCUCAAGCCAACAGAGCCCAGGGACAGAAACAGAGCUCAAGAGAGGGGAUACCCCCACUGAAUCCCAUUCGCUUUUUUGCCCAGAUGGUAGUGGGCAUAUAUUUUGGCCUUGUGGCUCUGAUUAGCUUUUCUUCCAUGGCCAACUUCUACAUUGUGGGCCUCCCACUGGCAGUUGGCUUAGGUGUCUUGCUGGUGGCUACUGUUGGCAACCAAACCUCAGACUUUAAGAACACUCUAGGAGCAGCAUUUCUUACUUCCCCUAUAUUCUAUGGCCGCCCCAUAGCCAUCCUGCCCAUCAGCUUGGCUGCCAGCAUCACAGCCCAGAAACAUCGUCGCUACAAACCUUCAGUGGAGUCAGAGACACUCAGUGUGCGGCUCUACAGGCUCGGUUUGGCUUACCUUGCUUUCACAGGCCCACUGGCAUACAGUACCCUGUGGAACACAGCUGCCACUCUCAGUUAUGUGGCAGAAACACUUGGCUCCUUCUUAAAUUGGUUCAGCUUUUUCCCCCUUCUUGGCCGCCUUAUGGAGUCUGUCCUCCUUCUGCCUUGCCAAAUCUGGUGGCUAUUAGUUGGGGAUCCAGGUAUCAACAACUGCUACUUCCAGGAGUGGGAGAAGUUCUAUGAGUUUGUUCACAGUUUUCAGGAUGAGAAGCGCCAGCUGGCUUACCAGGUUUUGGGCCUCUCAGAUGGGGCAACAAAUGAAGAAAUACAUCGUAGUUACCGGGAGCUAGUGAAGGUCUGGCAUCCCGACCACAACCAGCACCAAAGAGAGGAGGCCCAAAGGCAUUUCCUGGAAAUCCAGGCUGCAUAUGAAUUUCUGACUCAGACCAAGAAGCCCAGAGGAUCCCAGAGGUGAAAAUCAACUUUCUUGGAGAAUGGAGUCUUCACAGCAGAGCGGGGCAGCUUAUCCUAAGUCUUCUUUUGCCCAUCUGAGACCCAGAACAAUGGAGUCUGCCAACCAUGGUCUGAACCUCUGAGACAGUGCUGGGAAUCCAACCCAGGGCUUCCUGCAUACUAGUCAAGCAUUCUACCUCUGACAUAAUACUCAACCCCAUGUUUUUAAAAAUUUUAAUUGCGUUCCUAUUUGUCACUAUCUUACCUGUUUUGUUAAUCCUUGCUUUUUAGAAACCUUAACCUAUUGUAAAAAGCAUUGUAGAUAUUUUCCCCCAGUCUAAGUCUGGUCUUUUGACUUUGCUCUGGGGAAUCAAAAUUGGCAUUAGGAUUGGAAUCAGUUUUCAUGGGAUUUUCCUGGCUGUGUGAUUUGACUUCCUUUAGCCACUCAGAGCCUUAAUUUCCUCUAAAACUGACCUACAUCCCCAACUUAAAAAAAAAAAAUUAUCUUUUUUUCUUGGAGGUGCUUAACCAGUGAGUCAGUCACAUCUCCAGCCCUUUUAAUUUUAUAUUUUGAACAGGUUUUCGCCAAAUUGCUAAGACUGUUCUUGAACUCAUGCUCCUAGGACCUGCCUCAGCCUCUGGAAAUACUGGGAUUACAGGCGAGAGCCACCCCACCUGCCUUAAUUUUUUGUCUUUUGAGACAGGGUUUUGCUAAAACACUGAGAGUCUCACUAAAUUGCUGAGGCUAGCCUCAAAUUUGCAAUCUUCUUGCCUCAGUGUUAGAAAUAAAGAGGUGCCGAAAACAUGUUCUCGAAAGAGGUUGGGCAAGGUUGACCUUUACUCUGGCAGAGGGCAUGUUACUGGAACCUGGCUAGCAAGCGCACCUGGGCAGCAGGUGGUCUGCUUGUAUCUAGAACCUACUGCAGCGCUGCCCUUCACUUUAAUUGGAGGAGUUUGAGGUUACAAUCUACGAGAUUGGCUAAUUUUAGAAUUAGGGCGGGCAAAAGGGAAGGGCUACAAUUGGAUCCAAUUAAGACAAUACUAGAUUUUGAAAAUGAACCAGCAGACUUUCUAUUUCAGCCUCUCAAAUUGCUGAGAUUACAGAUGUGCGCCAUCAUGACAGAUGAUGUCAUGAGCUUUCAAAGAAGAGUAUAAAACAAUCAAAUAUGACUGGGUGUUCCCUUGAGAAACCAGCCUCUACCUCAGAGCAAAGCCUGUCCAAGAAAGAGGGCAUGACCCUUGUCCUUGGAAAGACCCACAGAGCACUCCUAGGCAUAUACCCACCCUGCUGAAUUGUUCAUCUACAAAUAGCAGGAGCCAGGUGUCUCUGACUCAGUCAGGUUAGGUGAGGACCCAUAGCAACCCCCGAGCAACCACCAAUCAGCAUGAGACAGGGAAAAUACCUGGGAUGCCAGAUGACCCUCCCAGUAGUUUAUGGUGGUUGAUAACGUGUUGGGAAACCACGUAGUUCAGCAUGUACACCCCUCGUGGCUUAAACCAAUCAGUUCAAACGAAUCCCCCUCUUGUACUAACCAAUCACCCCUACCCAACUUGUUCCCGCCAUUGAAUGUGCUAAUCAAUGUUAAGAGUUGUUGUUUGAUUUUCCUGCGGUAUGGAAUGAUUUGCUGUGUGAUGUUGUGACGCAUAGAGUAUCCCCCCAAAACCUAUAAAAUCCCACUGAAUGAAGGACCAGGACUCACUCCCUGGGACUCACUCCCUGGGACUGCUGCGUCAGGAACGGUUGUGAGUCCAGGCUCGAGCUUGCAAUAAAGACUCUUGUGUGAUUGCAUCGGAUUCGGCUCCUGGAAGUGUUGGGGUCCCACGAAUCUGGCAUAACACUAUGUUGUAUGUGAAGUCCCUGCCUUCCCCAAAGAGUGUAUAAAACUGCUGCAAACCCUGGGCUUGGUGCCUUUCAGCAUCACCAGUUGCUGUGUGCACACGGAGGACCGAGCUAGCUUGCAAUAAACACCUCUUUGCUGCUUUCGUGGA
RNA transcript from Marmota monax (woodchuck), 3252 nucleotides. It is a transcript of the gene named DnaJ heat shock protein family (Hsp40) member C22, with no coding region annotated. The record is from RefSeq and is a predicted model, not a curated record. The transcript has 5 exons. NCBI's taxonomy places the organism in Eukaryota, Metazoa, Chordata, Mammalia, Rodentia, Sciuridae.